UUAAACUUUAUUCCUAAAUCACGACUUUGAUGCAUUAUGUUAUUCAUUUAUGAUUCAUAACUAUUAUGUACUAUAUCAUAAUCGAACCCUUAAAUUGUCAUUAAACUUUUGAUUCAACUAAUCCUUAGUUGAUGUUCGUUGAACUCUAAAUUACCUUGAAUCUUAUCCAAACCAAACAUCCUUUGGUGCAAACUCGUAUGUUUAAAUUGAGAUGAACAACCCUACUAUAGGGGAUUAUUUACGUGAAAGCGUUAUGAUGUUUGUGCACAAUACAUGGUACGAAGGGCUGAUCCCCCUAAGUACGAGAAGGUAGGUCCAUAUAGUCUAAUGAAUGUUAAAGGUUCAAGUAGAAAUACUUAUAACCUAGGACACAGUUCAUGGUCUUGUGACCCUUAAAUAAAUUAUAAAUUCUAAUUUUAGUUCUUGAUUAUCAAUGACAG
This 440-nucleotide long non-coding RNA is filed under the name Panax ginseng (ginseng). Its description in RNAcentral is "long non-coding RNA (PGIN_LNC014522)". Lineage: Eukaryota; Viridiplantae; Streptophyta; Magnoliopsida; Apiales; Araliaceae. The record is from RNAcentral.